RNAcentral lists this long non-coding RNA (473 nucleotides) under Triticum aestivum (bread wheat). RNAcentral describes it as "long non-coding RNA (TAES_LNC026202)". The record is from RNAcentral. Lineage: Eukaryota; Viridiplantae; Streptophyta; Magnoliopsida; Poales; Poaceae.
AUUAAUCUCCUGCUCCAGGAAUACAGGUAUGCCUUGCUUGGCGAUUUAAUUUGCUUGUGCGGCCUGAUUCAUAAUUAGGUAUAUCCCUGCUGAUUUUGUGUUCAGUUCAAUUGCAGAAAAACGGGAAAGUCUAAAGCAUCACUUAUUUUGGAACAUACGGGCUAUAUGGCACUUCAUCUAUCUCGUGAUAUUGUGGCUGACCUAGUUGUUUGUACAUCCUUCAUGUUGAAUUUUUGAGACCAUAAGUUGGUUGUAUUAGUUGUGUUGGCCUCAAAUGGAACAGAAAAAGGCAGAUGCAGAAAAAGGCUAAUGAACCAUCUCCCUAACAUUCAUUCUACUUUAAAAAAUUGUACUGUGAGAAAUCCUGGAUAAUUGAUUCAGACAUCAACCACCAGACACCUUAUACCAUCAUUAAAUUUGGCCUGACAUUUCCAGGCACAUACUGUAUCGAAGCACUAUAUAUAUAACCACAC